AGAGUUUGAUCAUGGCUCAGAUUGAACGCUGGCGGCAGGCCUAACACAUGCAAGUCGAACGGUAACAGGAAACAGCUUGCUGUUUUGCUGACGAGUGGCGGACGGGUGAGUAAUGUCUGGGAAACUGCCUGAUGGAGGGGGAUAACUACUGGAAACGGUAGCUAAUACCGCAUAAUGUCGCAAGACCAAAGAGGGGGACCUUAGGGCCUCUUGCCAUCGGAUGUGCCCAGAUGGGAUUAGCUGGUAGGUGGGGUAACGGCUCACCUAGGCGACGAUCCCUAGCUGGUCUGAGAGGAUGACCAGCCACACUGGAACUGAGACACGGUCCAGACUCCUACGGGAGGCAGCAGUGGGGAAUAUUGCACAAUGGGCGCAAGCCUGAUGCAGCCAUGCCGCGUGUAUGAAGAAGGCCUUCGGGUUGUAAAGUACUUUCAGCGGGGAGGAAGGGAGUAAAGUUAAUACCUUUGCUCAUUGACGUUACCCGCAGAAGAAGCACCGGCUAACUCCGUGCCAGCAGCCGCGGUAAUACGGAGGGUGCAAGCGUUAAUCGGAAUUACUGGGCGUAAAGCGCACGCAGGCGGUUUGUUAAGUCAGAUGUGAAAUCCCCGGGCUCAACCUGGGAACUGCAUCUGAUACUGGCAAGCUUGAGUCUCGUAGAGGGGGGUAGAAUUCCAGGUGUAGCGGUGAAAUGCGUAGAGAUCUGGAGGAAUACCGGUGGCGAAGGCGGCCCCCUGGACGAAGACUGACGCUCAGGUGCGAAAGCGUGGGGAGCAAACAGGAUUAGAUACCCUGGUAGUCCACGCCGUAAACGAUGUCGACUUGGAGGUUGUGCCCUUGAGGCGUGGCUUCCGGAGCUAACGCGUUAAGUCGACCGCCUGGGGAGUACGGCCGCAAGGUUAAAACUCAAAUGAAUUGACGGGGGCCCGCACAAGCGGUGGAGCAUGUGGUUUAAUUCGAUGCAACGCGAAGAACCUUACCUGGUCUUGACAUCCACGGAAGUUUUCAGAGAUGAGAAUGUGCCUUCGGGAACCGUGAGACAGGUGCUGCAUGGCUGUCGUCAGCUCGUGUUGUGAAAUGUUGGGUUAAGUCCCGCAACGAGCGCAACCCUUAUCCUUUGUUGCCAGCGGUCCGGCCGGGAACUCAAAGGAGACUGCCAGUGAUAAACUGGAGGAAGGUGGGGAUGACGUCAAGUCAUCAUGGCCCUUACGACCAGGGCUACACACGUGCUACAAUGGCGCAUACAAAGAGAAGCGACCUCGCGAGAGCAAGCGGACCUCAUAAAGUGCGUCGUAGUCCGGAUUGGAGUCUGCAACUCGACUCCAUGAAGUCGGAAUCGCUAGUAAUCGUGGAUCAGAAUGCCACGGUGAAUACGUUCCCGGGCCUUGUACACACCGCCCGUCACACCAUGGGAGUGGGUUGCAAAAGAAGUAGGUAGCUUAACCUUCGGGAGGGCGCUUACCACUUUGUGAUUCAUGACUGGGGUGAAGUCGUAACAAGGUAACCGUAGGGGAACCUGCGGUUGGAUCACCU
RNAcentral lists this ribosomal RNA (1530 nucleotides) under Escherichia coli HVH 158 (4-3224287). Its description in RNAcentral is "bacterial SSU rRNA". It matches the Rfam family "Bacterial small subunit ribosomal RNA". The record is from RNAcentral. Lineage: Bacteria; Pseudomonadati; Pseudomonadota; Gammaproteobacteria; Enterobacterales; Enterobacteriaceae.